CCAAUAGCGUAUAUUAAAGUUGUUGCAGUUAAAAAGCUCGUAGUUGAAUUUCGGAGUUUGUCGGUUGGUCGGGCUUCACUGUCCGCACUGGCCUGAUGAAUUCCUACCUUCUGAAUAACCAGCAUGCUAUUAAGUUAGUGCGUUGGGGAAGCAGAGCUAUUACCUUGAAAAAAUUAGAGUGCUUAAAGCAGGCUUGUGCUUGAAUAGAUUAGCAUGGAAUAAUAAAAUAGGACGGCAUGGUUCUAUUUUGUUGGUUUCUAGGAUCACCGUAAUGAUUAAUAGGGAUAGUUGGGGGCAUUAGUAUUCAAUUGUCAGAGGUGAAAUUCUUGGAUUUAUUGAAGACUAACUUCUGCGAAAGCAUUUGCCAAGGAUGUUUUCAUUAAUCAAGAACGAAAGUUAGGGGAUCGAAGACGAUCAGAUACCGUCGUAGUCUUAACCAUAAACUAUGCCGACUAGGGAUCGGACGAUGUUAAUUUUUUAAUGACUCGUUCGGCGCCUUACG
This 502-nucleotide ribosomal RNA is filed under the name uncultured Glomeromycotina. RNAcentral's name for it is "partial small subunit ribosomal RNA". It matches the Rfam family "Eukaryotic small subunit ribosomal RNA", at positions 591 to 1092 of the family's 1831-position model. The record is from RNAcentral. Lineage: Eukaryota; Fungi; Glomeromycota.